AACAAUAUUUCAGCAUUGGUGCGACACUGCAAAAUGCCGCAACACUGUACAAUGCAAUAGUGCAACAUAACAAAUUGAUUUCAAUUGUGGUCAACUCAUUAUCUCACAAACCAUAUAUUUUCCAUAUUGCUACACCUAAAAUCCUAAUUGUUUUUAGUAUAAAUAGAAGGGAAAUUAGCAAAACUGGGAGUGAUUUUUUGAAGGAAAACUUUAGAGAGAAAUUUGGGAGCAAAAAUAGUGUAAAAAACUGAUUCUUUUCCAAUAAAACAUGGCUAAAACCCUCAUUGCCUCAGCUUCACACAUCGAACUUUCCAGCACCAACAUCUCCCUCCUCCUUUUCUGCCACCUUCGCACUAUAUGCUAUUGUUAUUGUCAUUACAUUUUGCUUUCCUGCUAUGUUGUUGGAGCAAUUUUGUUGUUUAUUGAUUGUUUUAGGAUUUAGGUUAUUGAUUGUUUUUUGGGAGUAUCUGUUGGAAUCAACUCUAGAAGAAAGAAAGCUUGGUUUCCUUGAGUGAAUAAGUUAAAAAAUAUUAUCUUCAAGGAAAGCUAAGCAUAUGUCCUUGGGAGGGAGACUGUUAAUGACCAGCUCAGACAUGUCCAAUAUCCAUAUUUAUCAAUUAUCCUUCUAUAAGAUUCCAAGAGUCAUAGAAAAAGAAAUUAUAAAGAUACAAAGAGAUUUUUUUGAGGGAAGGUAAUGGUGAUCAAAAGAUGAUGAGUUGGAUAAGCUGGAAAAACAUUUGCAGAAGAAAUAUAGACGGGUGGUUUAGGAGUCAAACAAGUUGGAGCCUUCAACUUUUCUUUGUUAUCCAAGUGGCUAUAUGGAGAAUACUGUCGGAGCCAAAAACUAUGUGGAUGGAUAUUCUUACUUUUAUGUAUGGUGGAGAAGAUCCUUAGAAUUUUAAGAUUCCUAGUUGGAAAAAUAGACUCUUUAUGGUGAAGAGAUAUGGUUGCCUUAGGCUUCAACUACGUGGAAGAUGAAAAUUGUUUCUCCAACUCCAUUAUUUGCAUAGUAGGAAAUGGAAUGAUAGUUAGUUUUUGGCAUCCUAGCUGGUGUGGGCCUGAUUUAUUGAAUAAUUUAUUUCCUGUUAUAUUUGAUAUUUCUAUUAGCAAGGAAGCAAGAGAGGGAGAUAUGUGAAGAUGGUCUAGAGGGACUUUGGAAUGGAAUAUCUAUUUGAUGAAGGAAAAUUUGGUUUUAUCCUUGAUCAGCUCAUGCAAAUUCUUGCACAUGUCUAUAUUUCCCCCGAUAAAGAGGAUUCAUUCAAGUGGUGGAGGAACAAUUGUGGUUCUCAUUUAAAAUCAACUAUUAUGUUUUCCAAUUAUCUUUGGGUGAGGUCAUCAUUCCGAAUGAAGCGUGCUUAGCAGGUUUGGAGGAAGUCUAGAAGUCGAGGAUUCCUAGUAAAUUUCAGGUUUUCUAUUAGAGACUGUUGCGGAAUGGUUUACCAAAUAAGUCUCAAUUGGUCAAGCGAGGAAUUUUAGAAGGUGUCCAUAACUCAGUUUUCCCUCUGUGUUUUUCUGUCGGGGAAGAAGAUAUUCAUCUAAUCUUGGACUGCUUUGUUAGGCAAGAUAUUUGGAGGAGUUUGUGCAACUAGUUAGGCAUUUAGUUCAAGGCAGCGACUGGCUUAAUUCCUAAGCAUGUUUUAUAGGUCUGCACCGAGAUGGAGAGGAAAUUCCAUGAUCACUUGCUUUACUUCUUUUGUUCUACAACAUACUAGACCUUGUGGACUAGCCGAAAUUCUAUUCUCUUUCAGGGAGAAGUCUUGAGUAGUUGGGACUUUUUUGGGAAGAAUCAAGUUGUUAUCUGCCAAGUGUUUUUUUAGAAAUAAUAAUCCCAUUAGUUAGGAGGGUUGAAGGAUAGAUCUGUCACAUAUUCUUAAUUGAAACCUUUUGUAAUUUUGACUUGUGUUAGGCUUUUAUUCCUUUGUUCUUUUUUUCUUCUUUCUCUUUGUGUUAAUGGUUUAUCACCCUUUAUGCUCACUAUAACUCAAUUUUUGCUCUCUGUUUUUCGGUUGGGGAAGAAGAUAUUCAUCUA
Molecule: long non-coding RNA, 2029 nt
Organism: Lathyrus oleraceus (garden pea)
Lineage: Eukaryota; Viridiplantae; Streptophyta; Magnoliopsida; Fabales; Fabaceae
Exons: 2
Source: RefSeq, a predicted model, not a curated record